This 399-nucleotide ribosomal RNA is filed under the name uncultured bacterium. RNAcentral describes it as "bacterial SSU rRNA". It matches the Rfam family "Bacterial small subunit ribosomal RNA", at positions 356 to 773 of the family's 1533-position model. The record is from RNAcentral.
GGGGAAUAUUGCGCAAUGGGGGCAACCCUGACGCAGCAACGCCGCGUGCGGGACGAAGGCACUCGUGUCGUAAACCGCUUUCAGCAGGGAAGACAUCGACGGUACCUGCAGAAGAAGCCCCGGCUAACUACGUGCCAGCAGCCGCGGUAACACGUAGGGGGCGAGCGUUAUCCGGAUUCAUUGGGCGUAAAGCGCGCGCAGGCGGCCGCCUAAGCGGGACCUCUAAUCCUGGGGCUCAACCUCAGGCCGGGUCCCGAACUGGGCGGCUCGCGUCAGGUAGGGGGAGGCGGAAUUCCCGGUGUAGCGGUGGAAUGCGCAGAUAUCGGGAAGAACACCGACGGCGAAGGCAGCCUCCUGGGCCUCGACGGACGCUGAGGCGCGAAAGCCGGGGGAGCGAAC